GACGGACGCUGGCGGCGUGCUUAACACAUGCAAGUCGAACGUGAUUUUUGUGGAAAUUCUUUCGGGAAUGGACAUGAAAUGAAAGUGGCGAACGGGUGAGUAACACGUGAGCAACCUACCUUACACAGGGGGAUAGCCGUUGGAAACGACGAUUAAUACCGCAUGAGACCACAGAAUCGCAUGAUAUAGGGGUCAAAGAUUUAUCGGUGUAAGAAGGGCUCGCGUCUGAUUAGCUAGUUGGAAGGGUAAAGGCCUACCAAGGCGACGAUCAGUAGCCGGUCUGAGAGGAUGAACGGCCACAUUGGAACUGAGACACGGUCCAAACUCCUACGGGAGGCAGCAGUGGGGAAUAUUGCACAAUGGGGGGAACCCUGAUGCAGCGACGCCGCGUGAGCGAAGAAGGUUUUCGAAUCGUAAAGCUCUGUCCUAUGAGAAGAUAAUGACGGUAUCAUAGGAGGAAGCCCCGGCUAAAUACGUG
RNAcentral lists this ribosomal RNA (478 nucleotides) under uncultured bacterium. RNAcentral describes it as "partial 16S ribosomal RNA". It matches the Rfam family "Bacterial small subunit ribosomal RNA", at positions 28 to 507 of the family's 1533-position model. The record is from RNAcentral.